AGGACGAACGCUGGCGGCGUGCUUAACACAUGCAAGUGGAGCGACGAAACCGGGCUUGCCCGGUGGCAGAGCCGCGAACGGGUGAGUAACACGUGGGUAACCUGCCCCGAUGAUUGGGACAACUCCGGGGAAACCGGAGCUAAUACCAAAUGUGCUCUUUCCCUCUAAGGGGAUUGAGGAAAGGAAGCUUCGGCCUCCGCAUCGGGAUGGGCCCGCGGCCCAUUAGCUUGUGGUGGGUAACGCCUACCAAGCGACGAUGGGUAGCUGGUCUGAGAGGACGAUCAGCCACACUGGGACUGAGACACGGCCCAGACUCCUACGGGAGGCAGCAGUGGGGAAUCUUGCGCAAUGGGCGAAAAGCCUGACGCAGCAACGCCGCGUGGGGAAGAAGGCCUUCGGGUUCGUUAAACCCUUCGAGUUGGACGAAGCUUCGCCGGUGAACUAGACCGGCUGGAGUGACGGUAACCUUCCAACAAAGAAGACUACCGGACUAACGUACGUAGCCAGACAGCCGACC
Molecule: ribosomal RNA, 517 nt
Filed under: uncultured soil bacterium
Lineage: Bacteria
Description: bacterial SSU rRNA
Rfam family: Bacterial small subunit ribosomal RNA
Source: RNAcentral